RNAcentral lists this ribosomal RNA (622 nucleotides) under Coxiella burnetii. RNAcentral's name for it is "bacterial SSU rRNA". It matches the Rfam family "Bacterial small subunit ribosomal RNA", at positions 53 to 667 of the family's 1533-position model. Lineage: Bacteria; Pseudomonadati; Pseudomonadota; Gammaproteobacteria; Legionellales; Coxiellaceae. The record is from RNAcentral.
ACAUGCAAGUCGAACGGCAGCGCGGGGAGCUUGCUCCUGGCGGCGAGUGGCGGACGGGUGAGUAAUGCGUAGGAAUCUACCUUGUAGUGGGGGAUAACCUGGGGAAACUCGGGCUAAUACCGCAUAAUCUCUUUGGAGCAAAGCGNGGGAUCUUCGGACCUCGUGCUAUAAGAUGAGCCUACGUCGGAUUAGCUUGUUGGUGGGGUAAUGGCCUACCAAGGCGACGAUCCGUAGCUGGUCUGAGAGGACGAUCAGCCACACUGGGACUGAGACACGGCCCAGACUCCUACGGGAGGCAGCAGUGGGGAAUAUUGGACAAUGGGGGAAACCCUGAUCCAGCAAUGCCGCGUGUGUGAAGAAGGCCUUCGGGUUGUAAAGCACUUUCGGUGGGGAAGAAAUUCUCAAGGGUAAUAUCCUUGGGCGUUGACGUUACCCACAGAAGAAGCACUGGCUAACUCUGUGCCAGCAGCCGCGGUAAUACAGAGAGUGCAAGCUUUAAUCGGAAUCACUGGGCGUAAAGCGCGCGUAGGUGGAUAUCUAAGUCGGAUGUGAAAGCCCUGGGCUUAACCUGGGAAUUGCACCCGAUACUGGGUAUCUUGAGUAUGGUAGAGGGAAGUGGAAU